This 464-nucleotide ribosomal RNA is filed under the name Vreelandella stevensii. RNAcentral's name for it is "partial 16S ribosomal RNA". It matches the Rfam family "Bacterial small subunit ribosomal RNA", at positions 338 to 795 of the family's 1533-position model. Lineage: Bacteria; Pseudomonadati; Pseudomonadota; Gammaproteobacteria; Oceanospirillales; Halomonadaceae. The record is from RNAcentral.
CCUACGGGGGCUGCAGUGGGGAAUAUUGGACAAUGGGGGGAACCCUGAUCCAGCCAUGCCGCGUGUGUGAAGAAGGCCCUCGGGUUGUAAAGCACUUUCAGUGAGGAAGAACGCCUGGUGGUUAAUACCCAUCAGGAAAGACAUCACUCACAGAAGAAGCACCGGCUAACUCCGUGCCAGCAGCCGCGGUAAUACGGAGGGUGCGAGCGUUAAUCGGAAUUACUGGGCGUAAAGCGCGCGUAGGUGGCUUGAUAAGCCGGUUGUGAAAGCCCCGGGCUCAACCUGGGAACGGCAUCCGGAACUGUCAAGCUAGUGUGCAGGAGAGGAAGGUAGAAUUCCCGGUGUAGCGGUGAAAUGCGUAGAGAUCGGGAGGAAUACCAGUGGCGAAGGCGGCCUUCUGGACUGACACUGACACUGAGGUGCGAAAGCGUGGGUAGCAAACAGGAUUAGAUACCCCUGUAGUC